Non-coding RNA from Trichobilharzia regenti, 48 nucleotides. The record is from Rfam. NCBI's taxonomy places the organism in Eukaryota, Metazoa, Platyhelminthes, Trematoda, Strigeidida, Schistosomatidae.
AUCCAGCUGACGAGUCCCGAAUGGGGCGAAAUGCGCGUUAUCCUGGAU